RNAcentral lists this non-coding RNA (738 nucleotides) under Asota plana. The record is from RNAcentral. Lineage: Eukaryota; Metazoa; Arthropoda; Insecta; Lepidoptera; Erebidae.
AUAAAUUUUAGUGUUGAUUUAAUUUUAUUUUAAUAAUUUUUAAAAAUUUAAAUGUAGUAAUUAAUAUUAAAUAUUUAAGAAAUUAAGAUUUAGUUAUAUUUAAAUUAAUAACAAAUUUUGUGCCAGCAGUUGCGGUUAAACAAAAGUUAAAUUAAAUUUUAUUAGUUAAUUAAUAAAUAUAUAGUAUUAUAUAAUUUAAAUUUUAAAUUAUUAAGUGAAAUUUUAAUUUAAUUUAAAAUUAUAAAUUUAUAUUAUGAUUUAAUAAAUUUUAUAAAAGACUAGGAUUAGAUACCCUAUUAUGAAAAUUUAAAAUUAAAAUACUAAAAUAGUAAUUAAUUAUUUAUUGAAACUUAAAUAACUUGGCGGUAUUUUAGUUCAUUUAGAGGAAUCUGUUUAAUAAUUGAUAAUCCACGAAUAAAUUUACUUGAUUUAUAAUUUUGUAUAUCGUUGUUAUAAAAAUAUUUUUUUUUAAUAAUAAUAUUUCAAAUUUAAAAUUUUAAAUUAAAUCAGAUCAAGAUGCAGAUUAUAAUUAAGAAUAUAAUGGAUUACAAUAAAUUUAUUUAAAUGAAUAUUAAUUUGUAAUAAUUGAUUGAAAGUGGAUUUAAAUGUAAUUUUAUUUAUUUUAAUAAAAUGAUUAAAAAUUGAAAUAUGUACAUAUUGCCCGUCGCUUUCAUAUGAAUAUAAAAUUGGAAUAAGUCGUAACAAAGUAGAGGUACUGGAAAGUGUUUCUAGAAAGAC